AGCUCCAAUAGCGUAUAUUAAAGUUGUUGCAGUUAAAAAGCUCGUAGUUGGAUGUAUGACAAGACCGGCUGGUCUGUCGCAAGACAGUACUGGGCGUGUCGCGUCACGAUGCUGGGGAACUGCUCACAAGGCAGGGAACCAGGGAUUACUUUGAAGAAAUUAGAGUGUUUAAAGCAGGCGAUUGCUUGAAUACAUUAGCAUGGAAUAAUGAGAUAGGACUGUGGUCUUAUUUUGUUGGUUUGAGGGCCGUAGUAAUGAUUAAUAGGGAUAGUUGGGGGCAUUUGUAUUCAGUAGUCAGAGGUGAAAUUCUUGGAUUUACUGAAGACAAACUAAUGUGAAAGCAUUUGCCAAGGAUGUUUUCA
This 362-nucleotide ribosomal RNA is filed under the name uncultured eukaryote. Its description in RNAcentral is "SSU rRNA". It matches the Rfam family "Eukaryotic small subunit ribosomal RNA", at positions 587 to 972 of the family's 1831-position model. The record is from RNAcentral.